AGAGAGUCCCAUGUUCACGAAGAAAACGACUGCACCCCGACUUGGCUCAAAUCACCGAGUUAAAUGAGUCAGGGUUGAAACUGGCUCUGCUCGUUAGCAGAGAAAGGAAGUUGAGAGAACGGAGAAGAAAGGAAGAAAGAGAUCCUCCACUUCUGCUCUGUCAUUCGACCAUAACCUACUACCCUACCACAUUUCCACCAUCCCCAUUUAGAUCGAACUCAAUCCGGGUCACCAGGAAUCGACCCAGCCAUUACUGAGUCCAGAAACGUUCCCUCUGGUAGAGAAGACUCGACGCUGACUCGACUCCCUCAACGUUCUGUGCCAAGAUCAGUCGACUCGAUUGACCAAUGUUAACUCGCCAACGUGCCCCUGCCGAGUUGAACGAUCUCAAUAGAUUUAUGUGCAACAGAUUUUCUAUUUGCAACAGAGUCAUUAGAAAGAGAAUUGGAACUCCUUUCUCUUAAUCAGCAGGAGGUUGGGGUCAGGGCAUCUCGACCAACCAACAAACCGCAGAGGCUGACUCACCAAGUCUCCACCCAACUUUCCCCUCGAUGCAGCCGAUUUCGGUUCAAUCCGAGUCACUGAAAGUUGACUCAGCUGCUUAGUUAAGUCAUGGAGCCAACUUCCUGACUUGGUCAGAGUUGGUGAAAGCCUUGCUUGAAUCACCCUCCUCAAGGGACAACUCCCAUUUAGUGUCAAGGAUUACUUGAAGGGAAUUUGAGAACCCACAUCGAAUUCAAGAAUCGAGUAAUUGUAUAACCACAACAAGUAUUACCCACCGCUGUCUAUCUUGAAGGAUAACCCUUCCCCCAACCAAGAUUGAAUCAAGUGAGUAGUUGACAAAAUCUACCUAGUCACUGGUCCAAAUGUGAGUU
This is a long non-coding RNA of Magnolia sinica, 875 nucleotides long. RefSeq lists it as uncharacterized. The record is from RefSeq and is a predicted model, not a curated record. The transcript is spliced from 4 exons. Lineage: Eukaryota; Viridiplantae; Streptophyta; Magnoliopsida; Magnoliales; Magnoliaceae.